Molecule: ribosomal RNA, 446 nt
Filed under: uncultured bacterium
Lineage: Bacteria
Description: bacterial SSU rRNA
Rfam family: Bacterial small subunit ribosomal RNA
Source: RNAcentral
CUCCAGACUCCUACGGGAGGCAGCAGUGGGGAAUAUUGGGCAAUGGGGGAAACCCUGACCCAGCGACGCCGCGUGAGGGAAGAAGGUUUUCGGAUUGUAAACCUCUGUCCUUGGUGACGAUAAUGACGGUAGCCAAGGAGGAAGCCACGGCUAACUACGUGCCAGCAGCCGCGGUAAUACGUAGGUGGCGAGCGUUGUCCGGAAUUACUGGGCGUAAAGGGAGCGUAGGCGGACUUUUAAGUGAGAUGUGAAAUACUCGGGCUCAACUUGAGUGCUGCAUUUCAAACUGGAAGUCUAGAGUGCAGGAGAGGAGAAUGGAAUUCCUAGUGUAGCGGUGAAAUGCGUAGAGAUUAGGAAGAACACCAGUGGCGAAGGCGAUUCUCUGGACUGUAACUGACGCUGAGGCUCGAAAGCGUGGGGAGCAAACAGGAUUAGAUACCCCCGUA